RNAcentral lists this ribosomal RNA (279 nucleotides) under uncultured bacterium. Its description in RNAcentral is "partial 16S ribosomal RNA". It matches the Rfam family "Bacterial small subunit ribosomal RNA", at positions 506 to 784 of the family's 1533-position model. The record is from RNAcentral.
UGCCAGCCGCCGCGGUAAUACGGAGGGGGCAAGCGUUAUUCGGAAUUAUUGGGCGUAAAGCGCGCGCAGGUGGCUUCGCAAGUCAUAGGUGGAAUCCCUCGGCUCAACCGAGGAACUGCCUAUGAAACUGCGUGGCUCGAGGUCGGGAGGGGGUGAUGGAAUUCCCAGUGUAGCGGUGAAAUGCGUAGAUACUGGGAGGAACACCGGUGGCGAAGGCGAUCACCUGGACCGAUUCUGACACUGAGGCGCGAAAGCGUGGGGAGCAAACAGGAUUAGAUA